GGCUGGACUGCGACACCAUGCCAAGAUGAUGAGCCCUGGGUAUUUACCCCAGACAGUGAUGCCACUUCACAAGGAAACAGAUGUUAAAGCCCUUCUCAGAGAAUUUUCCAAGAGUAAAGCUGGUGAUGGAUAGCCAAACAUUAAUCAGCGAAAAGGAGUUUGACCUAUAGAGCCAAGGAGAAGUUGGACAAAGAACGUGAAAAGGACAACAGGCAAAUCCAAUCCAGUGAAUGAGAGCUCAAUGAGAAUCUUCAAAGGACCACAGUAUGCUGUACAAUUUUUUUUAAAAACAUCUAGAAGGG
RNAcentral lists this long non-coding RNA (302 nucleotides) under Homo sapiens (human). Its description in RNAcentral is "HSALNT0328818". The record is from RNAcentral. Lineage: Eukaryota; Metazoa; Chordata; Mammalia; Primates; Hominidae.